Molecule: long non-coding RNA, 276 nt
Filed under: Homo sapiens (human)
Lineage: Eukaryota; Metazoa; Chordata; Mammalia; Primates; Hominidae
Description: HSALNT0287022
Source: RNAcentral
CUUCAACAGGCCACAAUAGUUUCAUUUGAGACAAACUCUAAUUCCAUGUAAUAUAUGUUUAAUGUGUGAUGUGCAAAGUGUGUUUGUGUGUGUGUGUCUGUGUAUGCAUAGACACAUCCGUGCGUGUCUGUUUAUCUCAUAGGGAUCUUGGUUUUACACCCAAGAAAAAAGUAUGGCUUCUCUUAAUUCUGCUUCUUCUUACCAGCCCUUAGAAUUCAACCUGCUUCCUGUCACAGAAAGGUAUAUGACUAUCUUAAAAUAUGAUUUUAUUAGCCC